CCAAAGGCUCUUUUCAGAGCCAUCCACGUGCGCGCUAAAAAGAUCU
Molecule: non-coding RNA, 46 nt
Organism: Callithrix jacchus (white-tufted-ear marmoset)
Lineage: Eukaryota; Metazoa; Chordata; Mammalia; Primates; Cebidae
Source: Rfam